GUAUUUAUGAUAUAAUGAUAGGCCAGUGACAUCAUUAUAUUAUAAUUAUAUCUUAGUCUUGAAGAUCAAUCUCAGUAAAUAUAAAUAUAUACAUAUAUAUAUAUACAUAUAAAAAUUUUUAUACAUGCAGAGGACAUUGAAGAAUAUUUGAGAUUAUUAUUUUGGAACAAAGUAGUGAAGGUGAUAAGUGUGCCAAAUGGAUUAAGGUGCCUAGAUCACCAAAAACAUUCAUAAUUUUUAAAAACUCUUAGUGUAAAUAGUAUUAUCUGGUCAAGCCAGUUUUGUAUAUUUUCAUUGUGUAUUAUGUGCAAGGCAUUCAUGCUGAACAAAAUUCUAUACAGACAAAAAGUGUGCCAAAGGUGAAGCUGUGAUAGAUAAUUUGGCAUGAUGCAUCCUGACAUACAAUAUUUACUUCUUAAAGUGCAUUUUGUCAGACUUUUGAAUGAAGUGCAAGAUAUUUUUAUCUCCAAUGCUUGCCAUCUUAGUCUACCUCUUGCUUGCAACAAUGAUUUCCAAAGAGAUCAUCCUUCAUUAUAUUCUGUGUAUGUAUCAUCUUAGAUAAUAUAACUGCAAUAUAUAUUUGCAGCUAACUACAGUCUAAUGAUGACAAGGUGGAGAGAUCACACCGCCUAUAGGUUUGUUUUUAGAUUGCAGCAUGCCAAAAUGGUAUAAAUGUUAUGCAUUAAUUAAUAUUAUUACUGAGAGAUAUUGUUAUACUGUUGCUUUGUAUACCCUAAAGAAAACCAAAAUAAUAUUAGAAUUUUUAAUUAAAACUGUUAACUUUCUAGAUUUGUUAUGGAAUUUCAAGAGUUUUUACACAGGUAUAUUUAAUAAUGGCAGUAAAUCUGUUACAGUUUUGUGUUAUAAUUUGUAACUUUCAAUAAAAGAAAGUGAAAGUGAA
Molecule: long non-coding RNA, 901 nt
Filed under: Androctonus crassicauda
Lineage: Eukaryota; Metazoa; Arthropoda; Arachnida; Scorpiones; Buthidae
Source: RNAcentral